RNAcentral lists this ribosomal RNA (253 nucleotides) under uncultured bacterium. RNAcentral's name for it is "partial 16S ribosomal RNA". It matches the Rfam family "Bacterial small subunit ribosomal RNA", at positions 524 to 776 of the family's 1533-position model. The record is from RNAcentral.
UACAGAGGUCCCGAGCGUUGUUCGGAUUCACUGGGCGUAAAGGGUGCGUAGGUGGUGCGGUAAGUCGGAUGUGAAAUCUCCGGGCUCAACCCGGAAAUGGCAUUGGAAACUACCUUGCUAGAGGAAUUGAGGGGGGAUUGGAAUACUUGGUGUAGCAGUGAAAUGCGUAGAUAUCAAGUGGAACACCAGUGGCGAAGGCGAAUCCCUGGAAAAUACCUGACACUGAGGCACGAAAGCUAGGGGAGCAAACAGG